UGGGGGAUAUUGCACAAUGGGCGAAAGCCUGAUGCAGCGACGCCGCGUGGGGGAUGAAGGCUUUCGGGUUGUAAACCUCUUUCGCUAUCGAACAAGGCCCGCUUAGGGUGGGUUGAGGGUAGGUGGAGAAGAAGCGCCGGCUAACUACGUGCCAGCAGCCGCGGUAAUACGUAGGGCGCGAGCGUUGUCCGGAAUUAUUGGGCGUAAAGGGCUUGUAGGCGGCUUGUUGCGCCUGCUGUGAAAACGCGGGGCUUAACUUCGCGCGUGCAGUGGGUACGGGCAGGCUUGAGUGUGGUAGGGGUGACUGGAAUUCCAGGUGUAGCGGUGGAAUGCGCAGAUAUCUGAAGGAACACCGAUGGCGAAGGCAGGUCACUGGGCCAUUACUGACGCUGAGGAGCGAAAGCAUGGGUAGCGAACAGG
Molecule: ribosomal RNA, 420 nt
Filed under: bacterium
Lineage: Bacteria
Description: partial 16S ribosomal RNA
Rfam family: Bacterial small subunit ribosomal RNA
Source: RNAcentral